AACGAACGCUGGCGGCGCGUCUUAAGCAUGCAAGUCGGACGGUAAGGAAGGAGCUUGCUUCUUCCCUAGAGUGGCGGACUGGUGAGGAACGCGUGGGUGACGCACCCUUCGGACGGGGAUAGCCGGUAGAAAUACCGGGUAAUACCGGAUAAGAGCGCCUCCUUAGAGGGAGGCGGAGAAAGCGGCUUCGGCCGCGCCGGAGGAACGGCCCGCGUGCUAUUAGCUAGUUGGCGGGGUAACGGCCCACCAAGGCGACGAUAGCUAUCCGGCCUGAGAGGGUGACCGGCCACAUUGGGACUGAGACACGGCCCAAACUCCUACGGGAGGCAGCAGUGGGGAAUAUUGCACAAUGGGGGAAACCCUGAUGCAGCGACGCCGCGUGAGGGAAGAAGGUUUUCGGAUUGUAAACCUCUGUCCUUGGUGACGAUAAUGACGGUAGCCAAGGAGGAAGCCACGGCUAACUACGUG
Molecule: ribosomal RNA, 468 nt
Filed under: uncultured bacterium
Lineage: Bacteria
Description: bacterial SSU rRNA
Rfam family: Bacterial small subunit ribosomal RNA
Source: RNAcentral